This 194-nucleotide ribosomal RNA is filed under the name Vibrio cyclitrophicus. RNAcentral describes it as "partial 23S ribosomal RNA". It matches the Rfam family "Bacterial large subunit ribosomal RNA", at positions 1 to 190 of the family's 2925-position model. Lineage: Bacteria; Pseudomonadati; Pseudomonadota; Gammaproteobacteria; Vibrionales; Vibrionaceae. The record is from RNAcentral.
GUUGUAUGGUUAAGUGACUAAGCGUACACGGUGGAUGCCUUGGCAGUCAGAGGCGAUGAAAGGCGUAAUAACUUGCGAUAAGCCCAGAUUAGGUAGUAAUAACCUUUUGAGUCUGGGAUUCCUGAAUGGGGAAACCCACUUACAUAAGYAAGUAUCCUGUUGUGAAUACAUAGCAACAGGAGGCAAACCGGGGG